Molecule: transfer RNA, 71 nt
Filed under: Marmota marmota marmota (Alpine marmot)
Lineage: Eukaryota; Metazoa; Chordata; Mammalia; Rodentia; Sciuridae
Also listed under: 1 other name
Rfam family: tRNA
About the family: Transfer RNA (tRNA) molecules are approximately 80 nucleotides in length.
Source: Rfam by way of RNAcentral
GGGGUUGUGGCUCAGUGGUAGAGCGCUUGCUUCACGCGUAUGAGGCACUGGGUUCAAUCCUCAGAACCACA